GACGAACGCUGGCGGCGUGCUUAACACAUGCAAGUCGAACGGAAAGGCCCUGCUUUUGUGGGGUGCUCGAGUGGCGAACGGGUGAUUAACACGUGAGUAACCUGCCCUUGACUUUGGGAUAACUUCAGGAAACUGGGGCUAAUACCGGAUAGGAGCUCCUGCUGCAUGGUGGGGGUUGGAAAGUUUCGGCGGUUGGGGAUGGACUCGCGGCUUAUCAGCUUGUUGGUGGGGUAGUGGCUUACCAAGGCUUUGACGGGUAGCCGGCCUGAGAGGGUGACCGGCGACAUUGGGACUGAGAUACGGCCCAGAGUCAUACGGGAGGCAGCAGGGGGGAAUAUUGCACAAUGGGCGGAAGCCUGAGGCAGCAACGCCGCGUGCGGGAUGACGGCCUGCGGGGUGUAAACCGCUUUCGCCUGAGACGAAGCGUGAGUGACGGUAAUGGGUAAAGAAGCACCGGCUAACUACGUG
This 468-nucleotide ribosomal RNA is filed under the name uncultured bacterium. RNAcentral describes it as "partial 16S ribosomal RNA". It matches the Rfam family "Bacterial small subunit ribosomal RNA", at positions 28 to 507 of the family's 1533-position model. The record is from RNAcentral.